Cinara cedri is the source of this 415-nucleotide non-coding RNA. The record is from the annotation of a GenBank genome assembly. Lineage: Eukaryota; Metazoa; Arthropoda; Insecta; Hemiptera; Aphididae.
UCCGAAUAAACUCACAUAAUAUAAUAUAACAUUGGUACUAGAACACCACAACUAAAUAAAAAAAAACAACUUAGUUUAAAGAAUAAUCAAUUUUAAAAUUGUGUGUGCUCCUCCAAACUGUUAGUUUCAAUUUUGAUAUACAUUUGGCAAUAAUUAUUAUUCGUGACGUUUUCGGAAACUGUUAAAAUGUUAUUACACAUCGGUCAAGAAUAUCGACUAUUACUUCAGAAAAUGAGUUAAUGGGCUACUAAUUUUUGCUUCGUCGAGCGUGUACGAGAAUCGACAACAUGAGGAACUAUGACCGUGGUGCCACACGCUCCAAAGACCUCAGUUUCUGCCGCAGUAUAUUCUUGAUCCAUGCAUUUAACAAUUAACUCUUUGUAGUUUGAUAUUUUAUUACUUGUAUUAUUUUUUC